Manis pentadactyla (Chinese pangolin) is the source of this 215-nucleotide long non-coding RNA. RefSeq lists it as uncharacterized. The record is from RefSeq and is a predicted model, not a curated record. NCBI's taxonomy places the organism in Eukaryota, Metazoa, Chordata, Mammalia, Pholidota, Manidae. The transcript is spliced from 2 exons.
GAAUUCUUUUUCGGGAAGAUUGGUAAUUUCAUUCUCACCAGGCCCUCUCUGUGGUGUUUGAGGGAUUUUGGACCGAACAAGGUUCUUCUGCCUUUUCAUGGCGCUGGAAGUGAUUGCUGAAAUGACCAUUAAGAAGUAGAUGCCCAGAUGCAAAGUGAUGAAACAGUCCAAUUUGUCAUAAAGUAAGAUGCAGCUGUGGAUUUCAACCAGAUUAG